UCAUAUUGAAAGAUGUAAUUUUUCAAUUAUUCAAAAGUUAGUGUUCACUAGUAGAUAAAAUUAAAAAGGCACCCCCCUUUUCGCAUCGGUUCUUAAAAACUGGUGGGAAAAGAAAUGGGCGGGAUUUGGAUAUAUACUUUUCGCACCGGUGCUAAAUUUAGAAAAAAACAAAAGGUAUUUCGCACCGGUUCAGCCCAAACCGGUGGGAAAACUUUAUUUACAACCGGUUCGAACCGGCGCGAAAUAAAAAAUAAAAAAAAACAAGCUUAAUAUUGAAAUUCUUCUUCUUCCUUCAGUUUUCAUUCCCCUGCUAGCUUUUCCACUUCAAUUCUUCCUUCUCUCGUUGUCGCCUACCUUCACCAUUGCUCUCCUUCACGCAUAGCUCCGAAUUUUCACCAUAGCUGUCCUCCAUUGAAGCGUAUUCUGGGCUUUCUCACCUCCAUUGAAGCACAACUCCUCCCUUUCUCUCCAUAGCUCUCCUCCAUUAAAGCGCAUUCUGCUGAGCUUUCUCACCUCCAUUGAAGCGCAUUCUAAGCUUUCCAACUCCAUUGUAGCAGCUUCGAGGUAAGAUUUAUUUCGUGGUCUUCCUAAUUUAUUGAAUACCUUCGCAAUCUAGGGUUACUCGUUGAUUUAGGGUUUUCUGAUCAUUGUGGUUUGCUGUUGUGACUUUAAUUUCGAGUUGUGCAUUCAACAAUAGUACAUUGUUUUAGGGUUUUCUGUUCUUUGUGGUUUGCUUUGAGAUUUUAGGUGGAUUCUGUUGUAACAGUUGGUGGAAUUGGUGGAAUUUUGCUACCAUAACUAAAAUUAUCGAGUGUGCAUCAUGUGACACACUAACAUAACUCGCAGGUAAUAGUGAGUUUUGCUUGAUUUGUUAUCCUAAUUAUAUUUACACAAGUUAGGGUUCUUGUUCUUUGAAUUUUCUGGAUUUUCGGUUUUAUUGUCACUGUUAGUUUAGUCUCGCUCCUCCUUCCAAUUUCGUUUUUAAGGGUUUAAUUUUUCUGGGUUUUGUUUAUUUCAUCUCAUCUUUUUCUGGGUGAAUUCUGGUGAAAUAUGUUUUGAUAAUUGGAUUUAUAUAUUUACUGUUGCAAUUCUUGUUUUUUGUUUAGGUUUUGUUUGUUUUAGCUCAUAUUUUCUGUAGUUUUUGCUGGGUGAAAUUUAUAGGAUUGGAACUAUAUAAGUGUGGAAGCUUUAUUCAUUGAUUAAUUAGGGAGGAUAGGAGAAAACAGAGCUGAUUACAAGAUUUGAUGUCCUGUCUAUCUCGGUUCGUGGAGAUGCUGGAGAUUAUUUCAGUGAUGCAAUCGCCAUUGGAUCCUUUCAUGCUACUCAAAGUGGUAUCGUCGUGGUUUAUUCUGCUGGUAAUUCUGGUCCUGAUGUAGCGUCUGGUUCAAAUGUUGCACCAUGGAUUGUUACUGUUGGAGCAAGUACUAUGGAUAGGGAGUUUCAAGCUUUUGCUGACCUUCGAAAUGGGCAGAGAUUUAAGGGUUCGAGCUUAUCAAAACCUUUGCCAAAUGACAAGCUUUAUCCACUCAUAUCUGGUGCUCAGGCGAAAACUGCCAAUGCAUUUGCGGCAGACGUGCACAUUGGAUAAAACUAGAGUACAAGGAAAAAUCGUGGCAUGUCUUCGUGGUGGUAAUGCAAGAGUGGAGAAAGGCGUGCAAGCAUUACUUGCUGGAGCUGCAGGGAUGAUCCUUUGCAACGACAAAGAUAGCGACAAUGAGAUUAUAGCUGAUCUUCAUGUCCUUCCAGCAACACAACUAACCUAGACAGAUGGGGCUGCUGUUUUGGCCUAUAUCAAUUCAACUGCUGAGCCUUAUGGUUACAUCACUCAUCCAGCAGUUGUUCUAAAUACCAAGCCAGCUCCUUAUAUGCCUGCAUUUUCAUCUAGAGGUCCAAAUCCUGUUACACCUGAGAUUUUAAAAGAUGCAAGGGAGGUCUCAGCCCCGAUUCCAGAAGGACACGGUGGCCGAGGUUGCACAGCCUCUUGCUGAUGGUAUAGAUGUAGGUGUAGAAUUUAAACCUGUUGAACAUCCAGUUGAGCCUCUUGACAAUGAUAAACCUGUUCCUUUUUCUUUUUAAUAUUUAUGGCAUGUGGAUAGCUAAAGGUCUGCAGCAGCACCUGGCUAGUUAUUACUGUACUAGUUUUUGUUAAACCUUAGAGGCUAGCAUCACUUUGUCUUUUUAGGUUUUGCAAUACCUUGUAUAAAUCAGCUAUGCUAUAGAAUUUAUUAUUUGCAAUGCAUGGAAUAUAUUUGCUCAGUUAACAAGACUGAGAAAUUUGUUCGU
Molecule: long non-coding RNA, 2283 nt
Organism: Chenopodium quinoa (quinoa)
Lineage: Eukaryota; Viridiplantae; Streptophyta; Magnoliopsida; Caryophyllales; Amaranthaceae
Exons: 5
Source: RefSeq, a predicted model, not a curated record